Molecule: long non-coding RNA, 557 nt
Organism: Manihot esculenta (cassava)
Lineage: Eukaryota; Viridiplantae; Streptophyta; Magnoliopsida; Malpighiales; Euphorbiaceae
Exons: 3
Source: RefSeq, a predicted model, not a curated record
UAAAAAAAAAAAAGAAAAGAAAAGAAGAAAGAAGAAAAGAUUAGGAGAGAAGAGAGAAACUCAUUUUGUUUCCUCCAUUUCCUUCUGCUUCCUCUGCCGUGAAACCCUCCUUUCUCCAUUUGUUUUUCCUACAUCAAAUUUCUUCAAAUCUCUACCUCCAAUCAAUUCCCCAUCUUCUCCCAACACCUUUCCAAAGAAGAAUUUGAAGAAAAGAAGGGAAAUCAAAGAGAAAUUUCAAGGGUGAGGGGGAGUGAAUAGUAACCAAGGGUUUGAAAUUUAAAGAAGUGGAAAGGAAAAGUGGAAGUUCCAAAGGGAAAGAAAAGGAAGAGUAGAGAAUUAAAGCUUGUAGAAUAUUUUGGAAAUUCUAAGGUUGUAGACCCAAGUAGCAGUAGAUUAAAAUCUGCAUCAACUCAGCCAGAGUUAUAUCAUUAUCUAUCUUGGGGGUAUAUUUUGUAAAGUUUAUAUAAAGGUGAUUGUGGAAAUUUGGCAUGUACAUAAAGUUUUAGUUGUAGAUGAUUUGAAUUAAAUAUAUUUGAAGACUUUAAUUUUGGUGUAAA